Molecule: ribosomal RNA, 754 nt
Filed under: uncultured Bulleidia sp.
Lineage: Bacteria; Bacillati; Bacillota; Erysipelotrichia; Erysipelotrichales; Erysipelotrichaceae
Description: bacterial SSU rRNA
Rfam family: Bacterial small subunit ribosomal RNA
Source: RNAcentral
GAUGAACGCUGGCGGCGUGCCUAAUACAUGCAAGUCGAACGCUGGAGAUCUAGCUUGCCAGAUCGAAGGAGUGGCGAACGGGUGAGUAAUACAUAAGCAACCUACCCACGAAGACUGGGAUAAUCUCUGGAAACGGGGACUAAUACCGGAUAGGUAAUCGGAAGGCAUCUUCUGGUUAUUAAAGGUUAAAAACACUGGUGGAUGGGCUUAUGGCGCAUUAGUUAGUUGGUGAGGUAACGGCCCACCAAGACGAUGAUGCGUAGCCGGCCUGAGAGGGUGAACGGCCACAUUGGGACUGAGACACGGCCCAGACUCCUACGGGAGGCAGCAGUAGGGAAUUUUCGGCAAUGGGGGCAACCCUGACCGAGCAACGCCGCGUGAGUGAAGACGGCCUUCGGGUUGUAAAGCUCUGUUGUAAGGGAAGAACGGUAGAUAGAGAAUAUCUAAGUGACGGUACCUUACCAGAAAGCCACGGCUAACUACGUGCCAGCAGCCGCGGUAAUACGUAGGUGGCGAGCGUUAUCCGGAAUUAUUGGGCGUAAAGGGUGCGUAGGCGGCCUGUUAAGUAAGUGGUUAAAUUGUUGGGCUCAACCCAAUCCAGCCACUUAAACUGGCAGGCUAGAGUAUUGGAGAGGCAAGUGGAAUUCCAUGUGUAGCGGUAAAAUGCGUAGAUAUAUGGAGGAACACCAGUGGCGAAGGCGGCUUGCUAGCCAAAGACUGACGCUCAUGCACGAAAGCGUGGGGAGCAAAUAGG